GUAAAAAGUGAAAAUGUUCGAAGAACUGAAGAAAAUGAUAGGGCAUUGGACGAUGAAAUAAAGGAGUUUAAGGUGGGGUUUUUUUUUUCAUAGUUAACUUUCUUACUAUAUAAAGUCCAUUUACGUGUUCGAUUUUUAUUAUUGGAUUUGUAGGGAUAGGUGCAUGAUACUUGCCAAGGACUCUAGAUCUUCCUACUCAAGGGACAUGUAAACAGAUUAGGACCUCUCGGAUCGUGCAUACUACUCAAGAGGACAUUAGAAUUUUAUAUAAUUAAUUGAGCAGACGAGCUACAAGUUUUGGAGUACAUAGUUGUUAGUUCAUGAUAUCGGAG
RNAcentral lists this long non-coding RNA (332 nucleotides) under Olea europaea subsp. europaea. The record is from RNAcentral. Lineage: Eukaryota; Viridiplantae; Streptophyta; Magnoliopsida; Lamiales; Oleaceae.